This 301-nucleotide ribosomal RNA is filed under the name uncultured bacterium. Its description in RNAcentral is "partial 16S ribosomal RNA". It matches the Rfam family "Bacterial small subunit ribosomal RNA", at positions 509 to 808 of the family's 1533-position model. The record is from RNAcentral.
CAGUAGCCGCGGGAAUACGUAGGGUGCGAGCGUUAAUCGGAAUUACUGGGCGUAAAGCGUGCGCAGGCGGUUCGUUAAGACAGAUGUGAAAUCCCCGGGCUUAACCUGGGAACUGCAUUUGUGACUGACGGGCUAGAGUAUGGCAGAGGGGGGUAGAAUUCCACGUGUAGCAGUGAAAUGCGUAGAGAUGUGGAGGAAUACCGUGGCGAAGGUGGCUCACUGGUCCAUUACUGACGCUGAGGUGCGAAAGCGUGGGGAGCAAACAGGAUUAGAGACCCCCGUAGUCCCUGUCUCUUAUACA